AUGACCACACGCGCUAAAACAGGCUACUUAAUGCCAAAACGACUCUUUCUUGCCGACGCCUCCUCCACCAUCUCACCUAUUCCUCCCACGUAUAAAUCAGCCCUUAAGGAUCCCCAUUGGCGUCAAGCAAUGUUAGAUGAGUAUAAUGCAUUAAUGAACAACUUCACUUGGUCUUUGGUGCCUAAGCCUGCAAGUGCGAAUGUGGUUACGGGCAAGUGGAUCUUCAGGCACAAAUUCAACACAGAUGGGUCUCCGACACGGUACAAGGCUCGGUGGGUCGUCCGUGGCUUCUCACAACAAGAAGGUGUGGACUACGAUGAGACGUUCAGUCCAGUGGUCAAGCCAGCAACCAUUCGGGUGGUAUUGAGUCUUGCCACCAGUCAUUCAUGGCCCAUUCAUCAACUUGACGUCAAGAGUGCAUUUCUUCAUGGUGAGCUCAAUGAAACAGUGUAUUGCUCGCAACCGGCCGGUUUUGUGGACUCCUCCAAGCCGGAUCAUGUGUGCCUUCUCAACAAGUCACUAUAUGGUCUCAAACAAGCCCCUCGGACGUGGUUCUUGCGCUUUCAAGCAUUUCUUUUAUCUCUUGGGUUUCGGGCAUCCAAGAGUGACACGUCCCUGUUCAUCCUACAUCAUGGUAACUCCCUUGCCUAUCUUCUCGUUUAUGUGGAUGAUAUCAUUCUCACCGCAAGCUCACCCCACACACUCACCCACAUCAUCUCCUCUCUUAAGCGCGAGUUUGCCAUGACUGACCUUGGUGCCUUACACCAUUUCUUGGGCAUCAAUGUCACCUCCAACCAGUCCGGCCUCUUCCUAUGCCAGCAGCAGUACACUCUCGAGCUUCUUGAGCGCGCAUCUAUGCUUACAUGCAAACCCGUAUCCACACCGGUCGACAUCAGCUCCAAACUGUCUUCUAAUGAUGGUGCCUUGCUCUCUAACCCCACUCACUACCGUAGUAUCACCGAAGCUCUACAAUACCUCACCCUAACCCGCCCGGAUAUUACAUAUGCGGUCCAACAAGCCUGUCUAUUCAUGCAUGCUCCACGCGAUAUCCAUUGGCAGCUUGUGAAGCACAUCCUCCGAUACCUCCAGGGUACAUCACACUACGGCCUCCAGCUUUUUCGGUCACCCUCCACUGACCUCAUUGCUUACAUCGAUGCCGAUUGGGCCGGGUGUCCGGACACACGUAGGUCGACCUCUGGUUUUUGUGUGUUCCUUGGAGCCAACCUCAUCUCCUGGUCCUCCAAGCGCCAACCCACCAUCUCACGAUCCAGUGCCGAGGCUGAAUAUCGAGGUGUUGCAAACUGUGUGGCUGAAGCUUGUUGGUUGCGGCAACUUCUUCAUGAGCUCAGGGUACCACCCAAACGUGCACCGUGGUGUAUUGCGACAACAUCAGUGCCUCCUACCUUGCAAGCAAUCCGGUCCAGCAUCAACGAACCAAGCAUAUUGAGAUUGACUUGCAUUUUGUUCGGGAUCGUGUGGCACUUGGCGAAGUUCGAGUCUUACAUGUGCCAUCCAGUUCGCAGUAUGCCGACAUCUUCACCAAGGGACUGCCCUCGCCAGUCUUCACUGAGUUUCGAUCCAGCCUGA
This 1587-nucleotide ribosomal RNA is filed under the name Triticum aestivum (bread wheat). RNAcentral describes it as "partial small subunit ribosomal RNA". Lineage: Eukaryota; Viridiplantae; Streptophyta; Magnoliopsida; Poales; Poaceae. The record is from RNAcentral.